Molecule: ribosomal RNA, 253 nt
Filed under: uncultured bacterium
Lineage: Bacteria
Description: partial 16S ribosomal RNA
Rfam family: Bacterial small subunit ribosomal RNA
Source: RNAcentral
UACGGAGGGUGCGAGCGUUGUCCGGAAUCACUGGGCGUAAAGGGCGCGUAGGCGGCCUGAUAAGUAGGGGGUGAAAUCCUGCGGCUUAACCGCAGGGCUGCCUUCUAAACUGUCAGGCUUGAGCACAGUAGAGGCAGGUGGAAUUCCCGGUGUAGCGGUGGAAUGCGUAGAGAUCGGGAAGAACACCCGUGGCUAAGGCGGCUCUCUAGUACGGUACUGACGCUGAGACGCGAAAGCGUGGGGAGCGAACAGG